Pygocentrus nattereri (red-bellied piranha) is the source of this 6694-nucleotide RNA transcript. It is a transcript of the gene named ERC protein 2, with no coding region annotated. The transcript is spliced from 20 exons. The record is from RefSeq and is a predicted model, not a curated record. NCBI's taxonomy places the organism in Eukaryota, Metazoa, Chordata, Actinopteri, Characiformes, Serrasalmidae.
UCCCACGACAGCAGCCUGAAAAGGAGCGCUAACUCCGCCUUUCUGUGAUGGGGAUAAACGCCCUCCUCGCAGACCGCCCGUCUUUCCCCCCACUGGCCCUUUAACAGGCUCGCCAGCGUCCCACAGCAGCGUCCCCAGGAAACGGGAGACGACGGGACUGUGUAAUGACAAGCCGGCGAGUGGACCCUGUUCAUCUCGUCUGGACUGAUCAGACCCUGAGCUCUGUGGAUCAGUAAGAUUAUAUUAAAGAUGGCCUGAAGAGAGUCUGCGAGUUCCAAAGCCAUUAGCAGCCUCUUGGUGAGAAAGACUUGUACGCUGCUAUGACACUCCAAAUAGUUUCACCCCAGGCUGUCACUUGGCAUUCCAGCACAAAAGAUUGAGACGAGAUGAUGCACAUCUUUUCAUGUGUGGCACCAAGUUGUAGCUUGACAGUAAGCCACUGUGGAAAAGAUGAGACCUGAGACAUUCAGCACUGUUGAAAUAUGCUGCAUGAACUUGACAGUUAAACAGACCUGCAAGCUUUCAAACUGGCCGUUAUGUUUUUGAAAGAAUAACUCUAAUUCUGCGAGGCCAGUUAUACUUCUGAAAGAGUAACUCGGUAAAAGACCUAGUCUUCAAUAAUAGAAAAGUACAGUGUUCCUUGUCACAACAUUGUACCAAGUCAUAAAAAUGAAAGGUUAAAGAGGAAAAUGUGAAGUGAACAAAACGGGACUUUCUCAUAACCACAUUCUCUACUUAUUAACCUGUCACACUCUAAGGAACCUUUGGUAGGUCCAGACUUACUUACCUCAUUCUCAUAACUACAUAUCUUUGUUGCACAUACUGGGUAAUUUGAAGUAGGACAGUAGACAUAGAUUAAUAACUAAAUUAUAAUAGCAUAAUGUAUGGCAGCGCAAGGUCUGUUGGGCAUGCUGAGGCAAGCCCAUCCCAAUCCCCACACCUCCCUCGGUCCCCUAGAAUGGGCCACCGGCGUGUCAGUGCCAGCAGCAGGGGCAGCAAGUCUGGUAGUGGUGGAAAAACUCUUUCCAUGGAGAAUAUCCAGUCCCUGAAUGCUGCCUAUGCAGCAUCUGGUCCAUUUUACUUGAGUGAUCACGAGGCACUGGCCUCCUCUGCCUACCCAAAAGGAACCAUGACCUUGGGGCGUGCCACCAGCCGGACAUCUUAUGGGGGAAGGGCCACCGCGAUGGGCAGCAGCCCCAACAUCAGCUCCUCCGUAGGGCAUCUUCACUCAGACUCGAUGGGCUAUGGAGAUCACGGAGCCAUGCAUCUCCACUCGCUGCAGCACCAGGGGCCUUCUUCUCCACUGCUGAGACAGGCCGUGCGGGGUGUGGCCAGAGGAGACGGGGGCCCCCUGAUGGAGCAGUUGAGGGAGCUGCAGAGGGAGAAUGACAUGUUGAGGAGGGAGCUUGACGUGAAGGACAGCAAGCUGGUUUCUUCAGUCAACAGCAUCAAGAGCUUCUGGAGUCCUGAGCUAAAGAAGGAACGAGGGAUGAGGAAAGAGGAGGUGUCAAAGACGUCCAUACUGAAGGAGCAAAUGAGAGUGCUGGAUGAUGAGAACCAGUUUUCGGAUUCUGAGAGACCACAGCACCUUCAGAUGACCAUCCAGACUUUACAGGAGGAGCUCUGUACACAGAGGGAUUUGAAUCAGCUCCUGCAGCAGGAGAACCGUACAGGCCCAUCUGACUCCACGUCUGAUUGCUUCCCUGUCCUGGAGCUCACUGAGGACAACUUCCAUCAUCUACAGGGUGAGCAUGAGCGGCAAGCGAAGGAGCUCUUCCUUCUGAGGAAAACCCUUGAGGAGAUGGAGCUCCGCAUCGAGACCCAGAAACAGACACUGAGUGCACGGGACGAGUCUAUCAAAAAGCUCUUGGAGAUGCUUCAGAACAAGGGCCUCCCCAGGUCUGGGCUGCCUGAUGAAGACGGUCUGAGGGUCAGACGUGAGGCUGAGGAACAGCUGGGCCACCUGGAGAUCAUUCUGGAGCAGAAAGAGAAGGAGAACCUGCACUUAAGAGAGGAGCUACACCGGAGGAAUCAACAGACAGAUCCUGCCAAAACCAAGGCCUUGCAGACCGUCAUUGACAUGAAGGACACCAAAAUCGCCUCCCUGGAGCGGAACAUCCGCGACCUGGAGGACGAAAUCCAGAUGCUCAAAACCAAUGGCCUGCUGAACACGGAUGACAGAGACGAGGAGCUCAAGCAGAUGGAAGUCUACAAGAGCCACUCCAAGUUUAUGAAGAACAAGAUUGAUCAGCUUAAGCAAGAGUUAUCGAAAAAAGAGUCUGAGAUGUUGGCCCUGCAGACUAAACUGGAGACCCUGACCAAUCAGAAUUCAGACUGCAAACAGCACAUUGAAGUCCUGAAGGAAUCCCUUACAGCGAAGGAGCAGAGAGCUAAUGUCCUGCAAACAGAGGUUGAUGCCUUAAGGCUGCGUCUGGAGGAGAAGGAGUCCUUCCUGAAUAAGAAGAGCAAGCAGUUGCAGGACGUAACAGACGAGAAAGGAACACUGAGUGGAGAGAUACGGGACCUCAAGGACAUGUUGGAGGUCAAGGAGCGUAAGAUCAACGUCUUGCAGAAAAAGAUUGAAAAUCUGAUGGAACAGCUGAAGGACAAAGAAAAACAGCUUGGAAGUUUGAGGGACAGAGUGAUGUCUCUACAGACUGACUCCAGCAACACUGACACAGCCCUCGCCACUCUGGAGGAGGCCCUCUCUGAGAAGGAGAGGGUCAUAGAGCAUCUGAAGGAGCAGAGAGAGAGAGAGGAGCGAGAGAAGCAUGAGGAAGUGGAGGCAUAUAAGAAGGAAAAUAAGGAGAUGAAGGACAAAAUCACCUCCCUACAGGCACAGCUCUUGGACAAAGAGAACCCUCUGCAAGGCAAAUCAGCGGCCCUGGAAGCUGAAGAAGCAGCUCGGAGGAACCUAGAGCUCUCAGAGCGCUUAAAACUUCUAGAAAAAGAAGUGGCCUUCCAUAAAGAGGAGUCUGGGAAGUCUAAGGCAGAAGUGGACAGGCUUCUGUCUAUUCUUAGAGAUGUGGAAUCAGAACGCACGGAGAAGGACAACAAAAUCUCUGAGCUGGAGAGGCAAGCAAAGGAACAAAAUAAGAAACUGACAAGUGCAAAACCCACCCAGCUGGGAGAAAUGAAACCGUCCGAUGGGCCUCCACAGUUGGAGGAGCUGAUGGCAGCCUUGGAGAAGACACGGCAGGAGUUGGAUGUUACAAAGCAACGGCUGUCCACUACGCAGAUCUCACUUUCUGAGAGGGAAAAUCACCUGACCAGCAUGAGACAGGAGCGCCGGAAACAACUAGAGGAGAUUCUAGAAAUGAAGCAACAGGCACUGUUGGCAGCCAUCAGCGAAAAGGAUGCUAACAUCGCCCUUCUAGAACUUUCUGCUUCUAAAAAGAAGACAAGCCAAGAGGAGGUGAUGGCCUUGAAAAGAGAAAAGGACAGACUCAUGUACCAACUCAAGCAGCAGACGCAAAGCAGGAUGAAGCUCAUUGCAGAGAAUUAUGAAGAUGGCCACGUUCAUCCCCACCAUUCUCAUCACGCUCACCCGGGAUACACACACCACCGCGGCCCACCAAGAGGACCAGCAUCACACGCCAAUCACAGAGCCCAGAUAGAGCAGGAUGAUGAAGAGGGCAUCUGGGCAUGACUGUUGCCAACAAAAUCAUUGCUCCUGUCACGUUCAAAAUGGAGGUGUAAAGCUGAACACACAUCUAUCAUUCUGCACUUGCUAGGCCUGCAUCUCUAUGAGGGGAGUCUUCAUUUUUAACCCACUCAGAGAAAGAGGAGGAGAGAGGGAGAAAGGAAGAAAAAGAAAGAAAGGAGAGAGGUCUAUGUCCAGGUACUAUUCUAGAUUAUUUCUCUGGCUAGAAAGGAAUGGGCAGAAUGCUAUGAUUGACAGCUACUCCUCAUCACAAUAAGGUGCUCCCUCUCUCUGAAGCUCCUCAUCUCCAGUUACACGACAAAUGGACCCCACUGGCACGACCAUUGCACUAUGCUCUCACCAUGAAGCCUAAAGCAACCUCAAAACCUUACCCACUUCAGCAAAGUGCAGCAUCAUCGAGCGUAGACUCCCUGUGGAUGCUCCUCGCACUGCACUACCACCAUCUGGAUAACAUUUGAUGAUUAUCAGUUUUGCUAGUAUUGCUCAUGAUAUGAACCAUGGAUAUAGCCACGCCAUAUUGUUGUCAUUUGAAAUGGUUUUUGUCUGCCUUACUGGAUCUUAAUUGACAGAAGCAGUACAAGACGUUGGCUGUGUCUGAACACAAACACUAUUCAAUGACAGGUAGACACCCAGAAAGAGUGAUGCAUAGAAAUAACUCCAAUGCCUCUAUUGUCUUCUUUUGCAUUCGUUAAUAUUUCUUGUGCUCAUUACUAUAAUUUUGAUCAUUUUCUUUCUGUGGGAAAAGAUGCCAACCGCUAACAUUACUCCACUAACUCACAACGAGCGGUUGGGGUCUUAGUCGAUUUGUAAAUAAGCACCUUUUUAUCUAAAUGCUCAAAGGCUGCCAUCUAAGAGCUUCAUGAGACAGCAUGAACAGCAAGGUGUCAGACACAGCUAUGAAGUAUUUAUUUAGGCAAGGAAGGUCUAAGGCACUUCCAUCCGUCCUUCUUUCCAGUUGAUCCAUUGUUUCAUUACAGCUCCGCUCGUACCCAGGAUUCAUUUCAGUCUUUUCUGUUAAAUCUCCUCCAUACCUAGCAGUGACGGAUAUACAGUUGCUCGUGGCAGAAGGCUGUCAUAGAAACAAAAAAAAGAGAAACUGCUCACCACUUUCCACUUCUGGAAACAUCUGCCUUCACCCAAGUCAGCAUGGAAAUGUGCUCAAGUUUGGGGAGGAAAAAACAUCUUCUUCAACAGACUGAAAAAGACUCCUACUCUUCCUCAGUGCCUAUGAGAGAAGCUGCCUGUAUCAGUGACCCGUGUGUGUGUGAGGAUUUGUGCGUACUCGUCACGAACGAGAACAAAAAUAACGACACACAUCCAUUGCAUUAUUCUUUGUUUAAGGCAUCAAUGGUCACCUCUGUGUUUUCCUUUGACAGUGAUGUGUUGUGUGCUUUCCAGAGACCCCUCCAAGGAAACACGUCUUUAACUGCUUUGUAAUGAGCGCAAGGACUUCCUAAAACACUGACCAGAGCCUUGAACUUCGACCUUGGGAUGUAAUGUGUCUAAUAGUCUAUACUUGAAGCCAAAAUUGGCUCAGUGGACCAGUUUGAAGAUCAAGUUAAAAAGGAAGGAAAUCGUAAAAUACGGCAUCUCAUUUUUACACACAACGUGCCAAAAAUCUGUCUCUUUUGAUAAAAUCUUUUAGUAAACUUGAGAUCGUGUCUUAAGAGUUCCCAAAUCGGCCUGCUCUCAGAUGUGUACUUAAAAAUAAAAGCACUGCAUGGACAUAUCUACUGGGCAUAAUUAUACCACUGAUCCAAAUGCAAAACAACCCACAUUCUCAGUGGUUUAACCCGAACAUCAAUUUACAGGCAUUUCCCAUUAAAAACCACUCCUAUUACAGUUCAGCAGAAUGUGACAAUCCUCAGGAUGCAUAAAUGGCAACGAAAAAAAGCUCAUUUUAAACAGAGAAAUCAACAUUUCUCUAUUUCUACAAGAACACAAGUUCACGUCAAGUUCAAAAGUCAGAAAACUGAAUAUUCUUGCAUUCUUAUUACAUUUAUGGUUCUUUUGUCUAUGCAUAUAAGUUUUACAUUUAAUUGUUUUAUUUGAAAGAUUUCCAGAGUGUUGCCUCAUCCUUACAUUGCGAAAUGGACAGUGUAAAACUGUUCCCCAUUCACAGGAAUAGUUUGGUUAAAAAGCAUUUGUUGCUAACAAACUGAAAGCAAAAGUACACCACUUAGCACAAUGCAAAGGACAUCAUGCUAUUUGGUGCCUACUACCUUCCACUCACUGUGAGCAUUCCCAUCAGCUUCUCGGUUCACUCGCUUGUCUCCACUUAAUUACUGCAUGCAUUUUCAAUGCCACAAGAAGAGGAGAAUAAGAAUGCAUGCAAACUUGAGAGCUGUAUGGAAAUGUUAAUAACAUUGAAUCUCUACAAAGAGGCGGGAAAAAAGAAGAAAGGUGAUUUGCUGAUCAAAUAGUUUAUAAUAACAUUUUAUUACAUGAAUAACUGAGGCUCUCACUCAUUGUCAUGAGUAAGAAAUGGUGACGUCGAUGUUAAAAACUGUAUUGCACUGGUCUUUAAUGCUCUAUUUACUGUUUUGGUUCAGUGUCCAUGUUACAUUUAUUCCCUUCUUACUUUCUUUUUACUUUCUUUUUGUACAGAUUGUGAACUGCACAAGUUGUUUCUAUGUUUUUUUGUCGAACAUUGGUGUCUUCAUCCUGCCUGUCUGUCUGUCUGUUGUUUUGUUUAUUUCAUUCCUUAUUUAUUUAAUCAGAGCAAACAUUUAAUUUAAACGAAGCAAUGUUUGAGUACAGGGUUUCAUCCAGGGGGUGCAAUAACAGUGAGAUUUAAAGUUGUAUAGCUUAAUGUAUGUGUGUGUGUGUGUGUGUGUGUGUGUGUGUGUGUGUGUGUGUGUGUGUGUGUGUGUGAUAUCUGAAUAGAUGGUACUUGUAUUGUGGCCAGCUGUGUGUUUGAAAGCUUGUGAGGUGUAGAUACUCGCAGAAUUGCAAACACAGUGAAUAAACACUCUUGAAUGUUUUGCAGUGACCAGCUUGUCUCUGUGCAUUAAAGGUCAUUUCCUCUUA